Molecule: unclassified non-coding RNA, 2664 nt
Filed under: Hevea brasiliensis (rubber tree)
Lineage: Eukaryota; Viridiplantae; Streptophyta; Magnoliopsida; Malpighiales; Euphorbiaceae
Source: RNAcentral
CGGGCACAAAGGAUUUGGUUUGGAGUUUAGAUACCAAAUUUGUCAGAGAUAAAACAUACAAAUCUACCUAUUUUAGGAGCGAAAGAAAGAAGGCCGUAAAUGGAGAAAGAAAAAAGAGAGUUAUGAAUAUUGUAAGAGAAAAAAAUCUCUUACUUAAAAUGCUAGAAUAUAUGCAAAAAAUAAUGAAGAAAUGAAAGUGUUGACGAAAACACUGUUCAAAAAAAAAAUUAUUUGUAGAAAAACGUCUUGAAGGGAGGGUGGGAAGCACCGUUUUUUCUACCUUUUUUUUCUUUCUUUCUGUUGGGGGGGGGGGGACCUACAACCCCACUCAUCAUGUCAACGAUUUGGCUCCUCAUCACAAGAGUCCCCCAAACCACUUUCCAUGGAUCCCACCAGCAUCAUUCGACACAGAAGAAGGAACUGUUUUGGCCAAAAGGGGCUCCGGAGAAAUCUUAUACCCUCUAAAAGGCAACUUGUGAUUUGACUAUACUGUAACCUAUUUCCCCAAGGCAUCUCAUGUAGCAAGCCUCUCAGCUUCUCAGCGGGAAAAUGGAAUGCAAGACCCUGUGACAUUUUGAAUUACCCUUUCAAAGAUCACAGCUUUGUGAUUCACAAGCAAGAUUUUGGAAAAUGCUGCUUUUGUAUGCAGGAGCACGAGGCCUAAAGUGUGGCAAAAAGAAAAGCAUUUUCUCAGCCCUGCAUGCAAUGAAUUUCUCUGAAAAGAAAAAGAUGAAGUACAUAUUACCAUUUGCACAAAAGUACUACAUUAAAGAAGAAAAUUAGCAAAGACUGCAUUGCUAUGAAAAUAAUAAUAACCCAAUCGAAUGAAGGAUUAUAAACUAAAAGCUAGGGAAAAAAAUGCUUGACUAAUUGGAUUAAUAGAAAUUAUGAGAACGGCACAUACAAAACACGGGUAAAUACCUUCAUGUGCCCUGAGUUCUAUCACUCCAUGGCAAACCCGCAGAUGCAGAAGAAAUACCCAUGUGAGUUUCAGAUGAACUUGGGAAUUUACCUUUCUUAGACCAUUGCCAUAUCUUGGAAACAGAAAAGCUUUCGCCUUUACUUCUAAUGUUAAUCUUCUUCCCCUCAACAUCUCCAUCAGUUGAUGAAUUCCCAUUUUGUCCAUUUCUUCCUUUCACAAGCUUUAUACGACCAGGACCAGCACCUGUGCCAGGGCACAAAGCCACUUGCAAAUCCAAAUCAGCAACCACAUAUUGGUAUGACCCCAUUGAAAAACAUCUUCUUGCAUCCAAAUUACUGCUACUGGUCUCUCCCUCUCCCCUCUCUACUGCUUCGCUGUUUGAGCUUUUAAACUUGCCUAAUCUCACAGAAAACACCCUUUUUGAAUUGAUUCUCUCAUUCUCUGCUGAUUUUUGGCCAAGCGAUAGCCCACUUCCUGCAGUGCUUGAAAACCCAUCUUCUUCCCUUGGUUCUUCAUAAUCAAAGUAUGGAUUUUCAAAGGGAAGCCCUGGUGUAUAGAGUGUCCUUCUGCAAAGGGGGCAAGUUGAAUUAGAUAAUAACCAUGUGUCUAUACAAUCAAUGUGGAAAGCAUGACUACAUGCGGGGAGCAAUCUCAACUUGUCUUCCUCUGAGAACUCAGAAAGGCAAACCGCACAAUCAAAUGGCUCUUUUAGACCCAUAAUCUCCUUGUAGAGAAACACAGGCAGUGCAUCAAUAAAAGCUUGAUCUAGGCCAGAAUCAUGAAGAUGGAAGAGUUGCUGUAACUGUCUUUGGAAAGCAUCAGACCCGGACAUUUCAGGGUGUCUAUCGGAUUCAGAUACUGAAGAAGAUCUAUGCUUUAUGAGAAAUCUAGCAAGCAAGUGGAGAAGACCACAAAUGAAAAAUAUAACAGCUAGAAUAACUAUGAUAAAAAGGAGAGCUGGGCUUAUUUUGUUGCCAGAAGAAGAUUGUUUCUGGUAAUCGCUAUUAUAUGGCAAUGAAGGAGAAUAUGAAGAAGAGGAGGAUGAAAGCAAAGAGUAAGGAUGGCGAGACAAGUGACCACCUUUGUGGAUGAUUUGAGAUUGAAUCCAAGACAUUUUAGUCAAUCACCAUUCCAAAACACCAUCAAUUAUCUCAAACUUUCUCGGAUUGAACGGUUCUGUCAGCCAUACACAAUCUCAAAAGAACCCAUAUUUUCCUUUACUUUUGAGAUCAAACCCAAUACUCAGAUACCAAGUACAUUAUUUCUUGCACACGCAAGAAACCCAGCUCAUUUUAAUCAAGAAUUUGAAGAGAAGCUUUGUCAUCAAAGUGGUUGCUUAAGUAGGAGAUUUCGCAGCUAAAAAGAAACCAAAUUUUUUCUCUUGCUUUCACAUGAAAUUGAAAACCAAGUCAUUGGCGUGCAAGUAAAAACGGAAAAAAAAAAUAAAAAAGGAAAAACCUAAAGGCCACUCAAUACUUGGGAUAUGUCAAAGAGUUGUUGUUUACCUACCUCAGUCCCUGCAAACAACUGCCAUUAAUGGAGCCCAUAAUGUUCAUUUCACUAUCCUCAGACAGCGGUUGUUGACUCGUUGCAGAAAGCAAAAAAUAACCUUAAUAAGAGCAAAGGCAGUCUCUUGAGGGUUGAGUUUCCUUUAUAUUGGAAGGAAAGGUCGUGGAGAGAGCCGAGUGAUUAGAGAGGGAGCGGAACUGUAACAGCGCUAGUGAACUCCAGCCAACAUAAUC